GAUGAACGCUGGCGGCGUGCCUAAUACAUGCAAGUCGAGCGAACGGACGAGAAGCUUGCUUCUCUGAUGUUAGCGGCGGACGGGUGAGUAACACGUGGAUAACCUACCUAUAAGACUGGGAUAACUUCGGGAAACCGGAGCUAAUACCGGAUAAUAUUUUGAACCGCAUGGUUCAAAAGUGAAAGACGGUCUUGCUGUCACUUAUAGAUGGAUCCGCGCUGCAUUAGCUAGUUGGUAAGGUAACGGCUUACCAAGGCAACGAUGCAUAGCCGACCUGAGAGAGUGAUCGGCCACACUGGAACUGAGACACGGUCCAGACUCCUACGGGAGGCAGCAGCAGGGAAUCUUCCGCAAUGGGCGAAAGCCUGACGGAGCAACGCCGCGUGAGUGAUGAAGGUCUUCGGAUCGUAAAACUCUGUUAUUAGGGAAGAACAUAUGUGUAAGUAACUGUGCACAUCUUGACGGUACCUAAUCAGAAAGCCACGGCUAACUACGUG
Molecule: ribosomal RNA, 497 nt
Filed under: uncultured bacterium
Lineage: Bacteria
Description: partial 16S ribosomal RNA
Rfam family: Bacterial small subunit ribosomal RNA
Source: RNAcentral